RNAcentral lists this transfer RNA (74 nucleotides) under Podarcis lilfordi (Lilford's wall lizard). RNAcentral describes it as "tRNA.Lys". The stretch from base 6 to 63 matches the Rfam family "tRNA", at positions 8 to 63 of the family's 71-position model. From Rfam's summary of the family: Transfer RNA (tRNA) molecules are approximately 80 nucleotides in length. Their secondary structure includes four short double-helical elements and three loops (D, anti-codon, and T loops). Further hydrogen bonds mediate the characteristic L-shaped molecular structure. tRNAs have two regions of fundamental functional importance: the anti-codon, which is responsible for specific mRNA codon recognition, and the 3' end, to which the tRNAs corresponding amino acid is attached (by aminoacyl-tRNA synthetases). tRNAs cope with the degeneracy of the genetic code in two manners: having more than one tRNA (with a specific anti-codon) for a particular amino acid; and 'wobble' base-pairing, i.e. permitting non-standard base-pairing at the 3rd anti-codon position. Lineage: Eukaryota; Metazoa; Chordata; Lepidosauria; Squamata; Lacertidae. The record is from RNAcentral.
UGGGGUAGCUCUGCUGGUAGAGCAUGAGACUCUUAAUCUCAGAGUUGUGGGUUUGAGCUCCACAUUGGGCAAAA